AUCCAGCUGACAAGUCCCAAAUAGGACGAGAGGUGAGUCCUGGAU
Schistosoma mansoni is the source of this 45-nucleotide non-coding RNA. Lineage: Eukaryota; Metazoa; Platyhelminthes; Trematoda; Strigeidida; Schistosomatidae. The record is from Rfam.